Long non-coding RNA from Astatotilapia calliptera (eastern happy), 2479 nucleotides. Lineage: Eukaryota; Metazoa; Chordata; Actinopteri; Cichliformes; Cichlidae. The record is from Ensembl.
CUGAGUGGCAUACAUGAAGACUGUAACAUAAGACUUUGGUUGUUCCCACAAUAACGGACAUUAAUGAAAGAACUUCUCAAAGGAAACUUCUGGCUUCCUCGUCCCUCACAGUGCAUCUAAUCAGGACUGAUUAGGUGUGUGGUAGCCAGAAACAUGCAGGGGAGUGGUGGCUGCUGCUGUGCAUGUGAGGGCUUUUCCUGCAUGGUCUACAGGGCUGAGAAAAAGACAGAGGAAUCAGAGGAUGUCAUGUUGUGGCAUUUCAUAGGCAUAAUGAAAGAAAUCUCACUGUUUAUGCCAGGAAAUUGCCUCACCUCAUCCAUCUUCAGACCUUCUGUUUCUCUAUCAUCUAUUCUUGUCCAGUUUCUGUUUGCUUUAUAGGAUCCUAACAGAAGAAGCUGCAGGGGGAAAAACAACCAAAGCGGUUACAUCAGAUCCCACCAAAGGCAGCGUGGUCAGCUGAAUUUAGUCAUACAUUAGUCGUACCACAGGUAAAAUCUGUAAUGUAUAAUCUUUGUGAAAGUACAACUGAUGGUAGCAAAAUAUACAGCUGAUGUCAAAGAAAGUCCUACAGCCCAGUCUGCAAAAAGUUCACAAACACAGAAUGCAGUUAAUCUGUUAAUUUUGUAUAUAAUGAAAAUAAAUGUGCAAAGACGACGCAAACUGCUUAUGAGAAAUAUCCUUUUUUAUUUUGACGCCAGAAACACAUUUCAGAAAAAGCUACAACAGUGGCAUGGUGUGUUGCCUCAUUUUUGUUUUUGGGUUGUCUUUUUGUUUCAAUACAGUGGUGUGCUGUCACCUGACAACAAGAUGGUUCCUGAUUCAAACCCUUAUUGGUGCUCUUAUGAGUGCAGGCGCUCCCUGUGCCUACAUGAGGUUUCCUCCUGUUAGUCUGACACAUGCUCGUUAGAGACGUUGCUGAUUCUGAAUUGGCCGUGAAUGUGAAGCUGAGAAAAUGCUUAUAUGUGUGUUUAGUUAAAAUGUCAUCUGAAGCGUUUUGCUCAGUAAGACUGCAAAUGUACUAAAAAAUACAAGUGCAUUACUUUGUUAGGGUUUUUCUGGGGUCUUUUAAUGUUACUACACAUGGUGAAGUCUACCAGCUGUUCAUGUUUUACAUCGAGAUGUUGUUCUUUAAUUGUUAAACUAUUUGCUUAUGAGAUUUUUUUGUGUAAUGAACCUUUGCUACUUUUAACUUAAAGAAGACCCAACCUCUUUAGGACAUUCUUUUUCUACCAAAUCACAUGUUAAUAACCUGUUUGAAUAUCCUAGUGGUUAUUAAGUAACCUAUAGGUUCUUGAAGUGAUCUUUAAAGCAUCAGUUUUCCUGGGUUUUCACCACCUUUUUUAAAAUCCUUUUUGCUGGAAUUAAAUCCAAAAUUAACAUUUUUUCCUAAAUUUUAUAUAUUUAAAGAUUCAGUUUGAUUUAAUGUUUAUUUACAUUUUUAAACAGAUCAAUUUUUUAAGACACCUGCUCCUUAAGUGGUUAAAGUAAAGAAAAUAGGGCCCUCUUAAAAUGGCACUAAUUCGUUUUAAGUCACAAGUGCUUGAACUCCAGCUGAAGUGCCUAAUUCCCACAAAUAUUUAUCAGACUAAGGCAAUUUUAAUUAACAGCCUGGUUGGAAAAUCCUUGAAUAUUCUGAGAAUAUUACCUAGAGUGUAGUAUUUGUAGUUUUUGGGAGAUAAAAAAUUCUCACAACUUCCCUACCUCAUGACCAGCGGCCCUUGGCCUUUGAGGGUUUAAAUUGUCCAAAAAUGGAAGAUUUUCCUAGUUUUUUACAUUCAAAGCAUUAAAACCAUUAUUAUAUCCACAGAUAAUUUCUACAACUGUAGCAUCAGGUUAAAGAGAAUUCUUCAUUAAACAAACUUUAAUGAAGAAUUAUGUACUUUCUUUUGGCAUUCAAAAGAAAGUACAUAAUUUCAUCCAAAGUACAUACUUGUCAUUGCUUUUGGACAGUUUCAAAUUGUUACACUUGGUAUUCAGAGAUUAAUUCAUGGAACGUCUAGGCUUAAUUUAAGAAUAAAAAUGUCCAAUAUGAAUAGAAAAAAAUGGGUAUAAAAAUGCAAUUAUUUCCUUCCUUAUGUUAUUUAUAACUUCCUUAUUUGUCUAUUUUUAAAUCUGAGCUUUCUAUGUUUGUCUGAAUAUUUUAUUAGUAUCAGUUGCUUAAUUGUUUUAAUAAUGAAAAAAUCUUUAAAAUAAUUAUACAAAUGUGGUUUUAUUGAAUAUGCGUUUGUUCUAUUAAUUGUUGUGAGAAAUUUUAAUUCCUACAGAUCUUGUGUUGACAGACCUGCUUUUAUUUGUCUAACAGUUAAAUAUUUAACUGCCCCCCCCCCCCCCAAAUAAAAGUCUGCUUGAAUACAAAAAACCGACCUGACUUUUUAAAGUAAACUUUGAAAAACAAAAAACAAAACAAACAAACGAACAGAAAACAAAACAUCUCAACACUAUUCGUGUUUAAAGAGGUUUUUAGCCUGUCUGUUUUACA